ACGUACGAUCCUAUUUUGUUGGUUUCUAGGACCGCCGUAAUGAUUAAUAGGGAUAGUUGGGGGCAUUAGUAUUCAGUUGUCAGAGGUGAAAUUCUUGGAUUUAUUGAAGACUAACUACUGCGAAAGCAUUUGCCAAGGAUGUUUUCAUUAAUCAAGAACGAAAGUUAGGGGAUCGAAGACGAUUAGAUACCGUCGUAGUCUUAACCAUAAACUAUGCCGACUAGGGAUCGGGCGCAGUUCAAACGACUCGCUCGGCACCUUAAGAGAAAUCAAAGUUUUUGGGUUCUGGGGGGAGUAUGGUCGCAAGGCUGAAACUUAAAGGAAUUGACGGAAGGGCACCACCAUGAGUGGAGCCUGCGGCUUAAUUUGACUCAACACGGGGAAACUCACCAGGUCCAGACACAGUAAGGAUUGACAGAUUGAGAGCUCUUUCUUGAUUCUGUGAUUGGUGGUGCAUGGCCGUUCUUAGUUGGUGGAGUGAUUUGUCUGCCUAAUCGCGAUAACGAACGAGACCCUUACCUGCUAAAUAGUCGACUUGGCCUUGGCCGGGACCUUUUGGUUACGACUUCUUAGAGGGACUGGAGGCUCCAAGCCUCAGGAAGCCGGGGGCAAUAACAGGUCUGUGAUGCCCUUAGAUGUUCUGGGCCGCACGCGCGCUACACUGAUAAAGUCAACGAGUUUUAUUCAUAGAAUUCGUCCUUGGCCGGAAGGCCUGGGCAAUCUUGU
This 726-nucleotide ribosomal RNA is filed under the name uncultured fungus. RNAcentral describes it as "SSU rRNA". It matches the Rfam family "Eukaryotic small subunit ribosomal RNA", at positions 826 to 1555 of the family's 1831-position model. Lineage: Eukaryota; Fungi. The record is from RNAcentral.